RNAcentral lists this ribosomal RNA (460 nucleotides) under uncultured bacterium. Its description in RNAcentral is "partial 16S ribosomal RNA". It matches the Rfam family "Bacterial small subunit ribosomal RNA", at positions 338 to 795 of the family's 1533-position model. The record is from RNAcentral.
CCUACGGGGGGCAGCAGUGAGGAAUAUUGGUCAAUGGACGAGAGUCUGAACCAGCCAAGUAGCGUGAAGGAUGACUGCCCUAUGGGUUGUAAACUUCUUUUAUAUGGGAAUAAAAUGUUCCACGUGUGGGAUUUUGUCUGUACCAUAUGAAUAAGGAUCGGCUAACUCCGUGCCAGCAGCCGCGGUAAUACGGAGGAUCCGAGCGUUAUCCGGAUUUAUUGGGUUUAAAGGGAGCGUAGGUGGACUGUUAAGUCAGUUGUGAAAGUUUGCGGCUCAACCGUAAAAUUGCAGUUGAAACUGGCAGUCUUGAGUACAGUAGAGGUGGGCGGAAUUCGUGGUGUAGCGGUGAAAUGCUUAGAUAUCACGAAGAACUCCGAUUGCGAAGGCAGUUCACUGGACUGCAACUGACACUGAGGCUCGAAAGUGUGGGUAUCAAACAGGAUUAGAUACCCGAGUAGUC